AUUCGGACGAGGUCCGAUGAUAGAGGGCGGGUGCCCAAGGAGUGGUUUAUGUGAUAGUUUAUACUUGUUGUCUGUGUGAUACUUGUAUGUGCCUGGUAGGGAGGUGAGUGGGGGCGAGGUCCCGUAUCUCACCAAUAGCAGAGUGUGGAUGGUGUUCCACAUCUCAGUAGCAGCAGUCCAGGGGCGAGGCCCAAGUUAGGAAAGGAGUGAGGGAGGGUUGGGCCCGUAUCUCACUAUCAGCAGGAGUAUGGACGAGAUUCCAUGACUCAUCAGUAGCAGGACACGGGCGAGGCCCGGAGAUAGGCGAGGGCUUAGAGCAAGAGCUGUUAGUGUAUGUUUAGCUUGUGUGAUGUUAUGUGAUAUAUGUAUGUGUUGUUAUAUGUUAGUGGGCGGGGCCCUGUGACAGGUGAGGCCUAGGUAAACAGAUAUGUAUCCGAGCGGGGCUCAAAGCCAGGCGGGGCCUGGAGCGGCGGGGCCGUUGUAGCGGGCGAGGCCCGAAGUAGGGGGCGAGGCCCAGGAUAGCGGGCGUGGCCCAGUAUGUGCAGUAUGUGGUUUUGCAUGGUAUGUGGUAAGGUGGGGAACUCACUAAGCUUCGUGCUUACGGUUUUCAGUUUUGUUUUCAGGUACUUCCGGUAGCGGAGGGAGGAGCUCGGGGUGAUCGCAUGGCACACACCAUAGAUUAGUCAGCCUGGGAAUGUUUACUCUGAUAAUGAACAUGUGUUUUGAAAACUUAUACUCAAUUUAUGUUUUGGAAUGAUGGCUUUGUUUUAAAGUAAGGCUUUAUUAAAAGAAAUUUUUGGGUCGUUACAAGUUGGUAUCAGAGCCCUGGUUUGAGGGAUUCGGGCAUACUCUCGGGUGUGCCUGAACUCAAAAUGAGGGGUUGGAUAAAAGUUUUCAAAACCGAAAAGACAGUUUUCUAAAAAGAAUUUUGAGAACGAAAAGCGGUUUUAGGAAAACAAAAAGAAUCCAGAAAAAGAAAACAACUUUAAAAAGAGAAAAGAGGUGUGGUGCAUGCAAUCAAUCGAGCUCAAGUAAGUACCCCAAAAUACCCAUACAAGUCUACGUUAUGAUUAUCAGUUAGUAGAACAGUAUGCUAGAGUAGGACUAAGGAUCUAGGGAUGACGCCUUAUGUGCCUGUAUUUGUGCUUUUGAGCUGCAUGAUAGUGCUGAUUAGACAGUAGUAGGAUAGUCUGUUUAGGUUAUGCCUGAGUUUAUGACUUGUGUUGCAUGCUAGUUCAUAUUCUUGCUGUGUGGAUAUGAUUGCUUGAGUAUGUUAUGGUUAGAUUUUCCCUUGUCCGAAUGCUGCUUGCUCUGUGCAUUGUGAGAUUCUGAGUGAUGGGAAUUAGCCAUUAGGUGGAUACAACACGUCACAUGCAAUCAGGGUUGAAUAAUCUCAGAGUGCUGGAUUUGGUCCUAUUGUGCAGCUCUCGUCUGAGUCCAACCGUUGUAGGGACGAGUCUUUUACUUGAAGGAUUAUCUGAGCCUCGUUGCAUGUGAUGGUAUCCAGGUGAUGGCUAAUUGGCAUCACAAGGAGACCUUCAGUAGCUGAGGACUAGUUUGUGUUGAGUCAGAGGUUUCCCUAGGGUAAGCCUAGGAUGAGAUAGUGCUAGGAGCAGUAGUAGUGGUUAAGGGGUCGUGGAGUCAAAGCAAUUCCUGAGGAAAGUACGGAUAGAUGUGGAAGGUAGUAUGGGCCCGUACUACUGAAAGCAGAGGAUCCGUACUCGAUUCGGGAAGGGCCGAGACAAGACCAGGAACCUGGUAGGGUAUGUUUGGUCUCACAUCGGUGAUGAGUAUUCUGAUAGUGGUUGUGGUAUAUUUUCAGUAUGGUGACAUUGCGAGAGAGACCAGUAGGCGGUUCAGGCGCUGGAGAAGGAUCGGGCUCGGGUUCAGGGACCGAUCAGCUCGAGGAGCGGAUGAGAGAGUUGAUAUCAGCUGAGGUUACGCGCAGUAUUCUAGCUCAGACUCCUGUGAUCUUUGGCACGGUUAAGGAGGGUAUACUGGAGAUCAUGGAUGAGAGGCUGGGAGCCUUCUGUACUGAGAUGAUGGCAUUGAUGGGAGCGCGUACUCUGACAUUUCGAGAGUUCAGAGCCUGCGGGGCACCAGAUUAUCAUGGGGCUAGGGACCCCAUUGCUAGCAGCAGAUGGUUGGCUGAUGUUGCCNCCAGAUUAUCAUGGGACUAGGGACCCCAUUGCUAGCAGCAGAUGGUUGGCUGAUGUAGCCAACGCUUUUCGUACGAGCAAGUGUCCCGAGGGGGACAAGGUCAGACUCGCUUCCUGUCUUCUGAAGGACAGAGCGAGGGAUUGGUGGGAGGAGAUUCGUCAUACUUUGGGGGAUGAUGCCGCGUUGGAUGCGAUGACUUGGAGCGAUUUCUCGACCAGGUUCAGGGCGGAGUUUUCACUGCUGAUUGAGGUGCAGCAGCUGGCACGAGAGUUUCAGGAUUUGACAUAGACUAUAGAGACAGUGGCGGAGAUCACCGCCAAGUUCAGGAAGAGGGCUCUUCUCGUUCCUCAGUAUGCAGCCGAUGAGGAGAUAAAGAAGGCCGGCUAUCAUGAGAUGUUGCGGAGCGAUAUCCGCCAGUUUGUGAGCCGGUCCAGCUGUAAAACGCUGGAUGACAUGAUUGCUAGGGCUCGAGAGAAGGAGAUUGAUCUCGAGAUGGAGAAGAAGAGGAAGCCGGAUGAGGUUCAGGUAGCUGUGGGUUCGGGCAAAAGGCCCAAGGGAUCAGACUCGAGAUCGAGGGAUCAUCAGGACCGCAGUCGGUAUGGAAAGUGUGGCAGGGCGCACGGGGGCGCGUGCAGGAGUGGUAGCGGUGGUGAGUCUGGCUGCUUCAAGUGCGGUCGGACUGGUCAUUUUAGCAGGGAUUACACUGUUACCGCCGCGCAGGGAUCAGACUUGAUAUGUUUUCAUUGAAACCAGCGGAGCCACAAGAAGGCCCAGUGGCCCAGUUUGUCUUCAGCAGGACGGGUGAUGGCACCCGCCCAUGCAAAUUUGAGGAUCAUGGAUGGCCGUCAGGGCCGGGUAGAGGCACCCAGUAGGGAGCAGGGCUUUUCAGAUGACGACCUUGGAGACGCGAGCGACGCCGGACGUUGCAGGUAUGCCAUUUCCAUUUCUAGUUCUUUUAUUCAUGCAUGAUUAUGUUGUUAUGAUUCUGCAUCAUCAUCAGUAUGAGUAUUUUAUUAUGUGCGGUUGAUUAUGGUCGAGUUAUAUGCCAUCUGCAUACCCUGGAUAUUUGUAUGGUAGAUAGGGGAUGUGCUCUAUUGGAGAAGGUUACGUAGGAUGCAGUAGUUGUAGUACGCUUGGGAGGGACUUAGUAUGUCUCGUUAGAUCAGGAUCGUGUAGUGUCAGAGAUGGAUUGGUUAGAUCCCUAGCUAUGGUAAGCUUGGGUUCCUCAGCAGAUUGAUUAUGGAAUGGUAGCAAGGAUUGGGUUUUUCUAUGAGCAUUGAGAAACAAGGGGUAAGUAGGAUCGAAGUGGGGGAGAAUCCUCCGAGUAAGCCAGAGUAGAAGCACACAGACCCAGAAGGAGUGCGCGACCUCCGAGAAGGAAAGGAGUAGUUCAACUUUUGUUGGUUUGAGGAUUUCAGGGUUGGGAGUUUGAGAAACUCCCCAUCAGCUAGUGCGUGUGAUGGUAAUGGUUAGUUCAUGGUUGGGAAUUCGGGUGGUGGAUCACCCGUAGGACUCGAGGGAGUCAGAAUGAGGAUUUUGAGAGCUGAUGGCACAUGGGUGCCUUCGUGUCGACAGUCAGUGGUAGGAAGUGUUGUAAGACUACGGGGCAGCCAUAGCAUUCACUAGCAGUCAGCAAUGGAUGGUGAUGUAAGACUAUGGGUAAGCCGUAGUGUUCCUUAGUCACUUCAUUAGCGGAGUUGGGGCGAGGCCCUUAUCUCCUAGUGAUUAGAUGGGGAUCAGGAUGGAUAAUGGAUGAGGAUGAUAGGGAGUUGCUUGUAUAGCCCUAGCAAGGUGAGACCUUGGGAGAGGCCGCUCCAGGAUAUAGUUGGGUGAGACCCGUGGGCGAGGCCCGUAUGAGGUUAGCAGUGUAGAUAAUACCUGGGAGCAGGGUUGCUCAGUAGUACGAUUGGGUGGGACCUGUGGGCGAGGCCUGAGCGAGGGUGAAUAGACUAGUGGGACUAGAAGGAUAGAGGCGGGUGGGACCCGUGGGUGAGGCCCGUGGGUUUUAGCAGCGCAGGUGGGACCUGGUAGGGACCUUAGUGUCAAGUUAGGGGAUCGGGGAUCCCAGGUUUGUAGUGCCUGAGUGGCAGAAUUGUUUGAGUAGUUAUAGGUAGUCGAGGUUUCUUUGGAAGUCGCUGAGAGCGACUAGUGUUGAUGUUGGGACUAGCUACCGGUGGGAGCCGGUAAUCUAGAUAUUGAUAGGUUGGUAGGGACCAGAGUGGUCUCAGUUCAACCGGAAGGCAGAUGAGGAAUGGCAGAAGUAUCCAGUCAGUAGUAGUGCGGGAAGGCGGGUUAUGUUGGAAUUCAGUUAGAUGAGUCGAGGGGUACUCGACACCAAGUUAGGACAAGAGAGGAGUGUCAGUGGUUACUGGCGGUAAAGACCCGUACUGGAUUUAGCGGGAAUAAGGGAUCGGUGAAGAUAGGAUCUUCAUAGCAGCUGAGGAGAUAGUGGUUUUUGGAGCAUCGCCUUGGGAAGGCAAGGGAAUUGCGUGAGGAAAGAAGGGGUGAACCCCUAUAGGUUCAGUGCAGUACUCGGUGAGUACCCGUCGGAUUAUCGGCUAAGUAAGUUGUGUUUCCAGAAUGUCCAUGGUCAGGGUUGACCCGAGAUGGUUAUCCGCAAGGGUUAAUGCUAGUCAGAAUGAUCAGGAGGAAGACCAGCAAAGGAGGGCACCAAGUGUUGGGAUAAUUGGCUGGGUGUUACAGGCAGACCGCAGGCGGUGGGCCAUAGUAAAAUUUGAGGACGAAGUUUAGUUUAAGUGGGGGAGAGUUGUAACACCCAAGAUUUUGAAAGCCAAGAAAGUAAAAUAAACCCUAAAUUUAGGAGGGACUCGGCGAGUCCAAGGAGGAACUCGGUGUGUCCGAGCGGGAUCCGAGUUGUGGAUUAAGUGACCAACUCGGCGAGUCGGCCAAGGCGACUCGGCGAGUAGGGUCUGUACGAGGAAAACCCUAAAUCCGGGGCUUGGAGCCUUUUUUCACGUCUCAUUCUCCUUCCUAGGGCUUCUUUACUGCCUCUCCAACCCAGAAUUCGAACCAUAAAUCGCCAUUGUUGCUUAUUCAAGCUCUUUGCCAUUUUGUGGGUGAUUUGAAGGAAGAAAGAGGGAAGGAAUCAUUGAGGCUUCAAGGAACUGCAGUAAAUCCGAAGUUAAAGGACCUUUCAGAGCACUUGAAGGUAAUAAGCCGCUCCCUUCAUCCAGAUCUACUUUGGUUAUAAGUGUUGGGGCUUUUAAGCCAUGUCUAAGUUUAAUCUCGAGGUUGAGGUCCAUAUCUGAGGUUGCUACUUUAGAUCCAUGCUUGUUUUGGUUUAGAAUCCCGUAAAGUAUCAGCAAUAGAGUGGAUCUUUGGAGCCUUUGGUCUCAAACCCUAGUUCAUGGGGUAUUUUGCUUAGAUCUCCAUCUUCACACGUAAAGUUUGCAACUUUACGUGGGGGAUAGGCUUGGGAAGAGUAGAUCUACUAUUUGGAGUCCCUGCAUGACUCGAAAGUCCUCUGCAUGUUGUGGAACCGAAUGGACUCGGCGAGACCUUCGAGUGGACUCGAUGAGUAGCUUGAAGAUAAGGAGGAACUCGACGAGUGGGAUGAACAGCUCGUCGAGUCGGAUGAAGAUAGGCAUGAACUCGGCGAGUUGGAUGAAGAUUGCUUUGUGCUCAGCGAGUCUGUUCCUAGACUCGGCGAGUUAGGUCGCGUAGUCCCAAACCCUUCGAGUUAAGACUCGAGUCAGCGAGUCGAGCAAGGACUCAGUGAGUUGGUCAGGACAGGAUUCAGGAAUCUGUAGACUCGGCGAGUCAAGUCGCGAUUGGAAGGAAUUGAGCAUAAGAACUCGGCGAGUCAGUGAGUGGACUCGGCGAGUAGGGUUGACCUGGAAGGUUGAAUUUGACCAGGACUUUGACUUUGGCAAGGGUUGACUUGGUUGACCUUUGAAGGUCAGUUAGACUAAGUAAUGUGUUGGCAUUGAUAGCUCGGGGAGCUAGUGGAGCAGCAGUUCGGAGUCAGCGGUUGGGUAGCGGUCAAAGGAAUUAGCAGCAGCAGUUCAACAGUAUCAGGUGAGUUUCCAUUUGUAUGAAUGGGUCUACGGCCACAAUGUCGGCCCAUGUAGUUAUGAGUAGAAGACUCGGGGGUUAGCCCUAGGCACAGUAUGCUAGCAUGAUAUUCGGACGAGGUCCGAUGAUAGAGGGCGGGUGCCCAAGGAGUGGUUUAUGUGAUAGUUUAUACUUGUUGUCUGUGUGAUACUUGUACGUGCCUGGUAGGGAGGUGAGUGGGGGCGAGGUCCUNUAGCAGAGUGGGAUGGUGUUCCACAUCUCAGUAUCAGCAGCCCAGGGGCAAGGCCCAAGUUAGGAAAGGAGUGAGGACGGGCGGGGCCCGUAUCUCACUAUCAGCAGGAGUAUGGA
Molecule: long non-coding RNA, 6543 nt
Filed under: Lactuca sativa (garden lettuce)
Lineage: Eukaryota; Viridiplantae; Streptophyta; Magnoliopsida; Asterales; Asteraceae
Description: long non-coding RNA (LSAT_LNC003966)
Source: RNAcentral